RNAcentral lists this transfer RNA (71 nucleotides) under Rhipicephalus microplus (southern cattle tick). RNAcentral's name for it is "tRNA-Gly". It matches the Rfam family "tRNA". From Rfam's summary of the family: Transfer RNA (tRNA) molecules are approximately 80 nucleotides in length. Their secondary structure includes four short double-helical elements and three loops (D, anti-codon, and T loops). Further hydrogen bonds mediate the characteristic L-shaped molecular structure. tRNAs have two regions of fundamental functional importance: the anti-codon, which is responsible for specific mRNA codon recognition, and the 3' end, to which the tRNAs corresponding amino acid is attached (by aminoacyl-tRNA synthetases). tRNAs cope with the degeneracy of the genetic code in two manners: having more than one tRNA (with a specific anti-codon) for a particular amino acid; and 'wobble' base-pairing, i.e. permitting non-standard base-pairing at the 3rd anti-codon position. Lineage: Eukaryota; Metazoa; Arthropoda; Arachnida; Ixodida; Ixodidae. The record is from Rfam by way of RNAcentral.
GCGUCGGUGGUUCAGUGGUAGAAUGCUCGCCUGCCACGCGGGUGACCCGGGUUCGAUUCCCGGCUGACACA